ACUCAUUUUUAAAGUCAGGAGAAGAGAAAAGAGGAAAAGCACAAUGUUUGAUCCCUAGCUCCUUCAGUGGCUCAGGAGCAAGAAGUUAAUUCACGCUCACGUUAAAUAUGGUGGUGGAGAUCCUUACUCUAUGGCAACAGCGUGGGUUCUGAGAGCAUGUGGAAUGUUGAAGCCCUUCUAUGCUGAAUUCCCAAGCUCUGGCAGAAAGCAGGACACGACAUUCUUUGCGUGAAUGUGGGAGAAGUAUUCCAAUGAUCUAUAAGGGAAAAGAAAGUGAUAUGCAGUGACAUCAGGGACAGCAGUGUGCCUCAAUGUAGAGGGCUGUCUGGAUCACUCCCCUCGCUGGGAAUGAAAACCCUCUCUAUUUGGAAAACAGGGUGAAGCUCGUACAUUCCAGCACGGGAUACUGCCUCACUCCCUGUGGACAGCAGUGACGCGGACGUGAAACCCAAGGGGAACAGACAACACCCGGGGCUGGAGCCCCUACCAGCCCCGGCACCAUGAACACUGGGGUGUCCACUGACCUACGGAAAGGCUGGAGCCCCAAUCGCUGUGCUGUAAGAACCACCAUGAGAUCAGGAUUAUUGGAGUGGUUAAGAGUCCAGCCUGCUCAUGAUCUUUAGAAGCUUCCCCACUGCUGAAUUAGAGCGUCCCUGCUCCCAGGCACAGGUGGGGUACAGGGCCUCACUCUUUCUAGGUUGACCCCUAUUAAAAACGCCUGCCCUGGUGUUUCACCUACAAGUUCAGGGUUUUAGAAGGAUAAGGCCUGUGGCCUGCGAUGAUGCCCGCGCCCAUGUGCCUCCCUCCCCACCCCUGGUUUACAGGAGACCCUAAAGUGAAAUGCUGUUGCCCCCCACCCCAGCCCACUCCUCUAGGCAGGCAAUUUUCUUCUCCUUGUUCAUGUUUCCAAAACAGUUUAUCUUUUUAUCUCCUUGGAAGAAAAGUACUCUGCAAAUCAAAGGUAUCAUUAGUAUUGUUAUUAUUUUGCUAUUGAAAUCUCUUGAAUUCAC
Long non-coding RNA from Felis catus (domestic cat), 1010 nucleotides. RefSeq lists it as uncharacterized. The record is from RefSeq and is a predicted model, not a curated record. The transcript is spliced from 2 exons. NCBI's taxonomy places the organism in Eukaryota, Metazoa, Chordata, Mammalia, Carnivora, Felidae.